UACAGAGGUCUCAAGCGUUGUUCGGAUUCAUUGGGCGUAAAGGGUGCGUAGGUGGUGGGGUAAGUCAGGUGUGAAAUCUCGGGGCUCAACCCCGAAACUGCACUUGAUACUGCCUUACCCGAGUACUGGAGAGGAGAUUGGAAUUUACGGUGUAGCAGUGAAAUGCGUAGAUAUCGUAAGGAAGACCAGUGGCGAAGGCGGGUCUCUGGACAGUUCCUGACGCUGAGGCACGAAGGUCAGGGGAGCAAACGGG
Molecule: ribosomal RNA, 253 nt
Filed under: uncultured bacterium
Lineage: Bacteria
Description: partial 16S ribosomal RNA
Rfam family: Bacterial small subunit ribosomal RNA
Source: RNAcentral